RNAcentral lists this ribosomal RNA (464 nucleotides) under Vreelandella stevensii. RNAcentral describes it as "partial 16S ribosomal RNA". It matches the Rfam family "Bacterial small subunit ribosomal RNA", at positions 338 to 795 of the family's 1533-position model. Lineage: Bacteria; Pseudomonadati; Pseudomonadota; Gammaproteobacteria; Oceanospirillales; Halomonadaceae. The record is from RNAcentral.
CCUAGGGUGGCUGCAGUGGGGAAUAUUGGACAAUGGGCGAAAGCCUGAUCCAGCCAUGCCGCGUGUGUGAAGAAGGCCUUCGGGUUGUAAAGCACUUUCAGUGGGGAAGAAAGCCUUGGGGCUAAUACCCUCGAGGAAGGACAUCACCCACAGAAGAAGCACCGGCUAACUCCGUGCCAGCAGCCGCGGUAAUACGGAGGGUGCGAGCGUUAAUCGGAAUUACUGGGCGUAAAGCGCGCGUAGGCGGUCUGAUAAGCCGGUUGUGAAAGCCCCGGGCUCAACCUGGGAACGGCAUCCGGAACUGUCAGGCUAGAGUGCAGGAGAGGAAGGUAGAAUUCCCGGUGUAGCGGUGAAAUGCGUAGAGAUCGGGAGGAAUACCAGUGGCGAAGGCGGCCUUCUGGACUGACACUGACGCUGAGGUGCGAAAGCGUGGGUAGCAAACAGGAUUAGAUACCCGGGUAGUC